This is a long non-coding RNA of Marmota monax (woodchuck), 907 nucleotides long. RefSeq lists it as uncharacterized. The transcript is spliced from 2 exons. The record is from RefSeq and is a predicted model, not a curated record. NCBI's taxonomy places the organism in Eukaryota, Metazoa, Chordata, Mammalia, Rodentia, Sciuridae.
CACAGGAUUAAAAUAUUUAUAUCAGCCUGCUCACUUGAAGACACACAGUCACCAACCGCUUCAGGGCCACUCCUUAGUUUCCCAGUGUCCCUGCUCGGUGCUUCUAGAAACGUGGUCUUUGGACGUUGCGUACUUUCAAAUGCUGGUGAGAGCUGAAAGUAGGGAGCCUGGCACACUCGGUUCUCUAAGUAAUACGAAAUCCCCCCUCGGCCACAGCCACAGGGACGCUGGCCAGCCACGGGGAUCAGGACGGAGCCUGCUGAAGCCUGUUUCCCAAGAGCGGCCAGUGAAACCACGGAGGCCUGACCCAGUUUAAGGCAGCAGCGUACCUCUGGCCAGGAUGGCUGCUGGAAACCAGAGCCCGGCAAGGAGGUCACCAGCCUGGCUGCCAGCAGUUGCUGGAACACAUGAGAUCACAGAUGUAGCUGUUUGCAGCUUGUUGAGUUUCCCUGGAUGCUGCUGGACGAGCGCGUGGGUGCAGAGGCUAUGGACCGCCUGGAAGCCUGCUCUUUCUUAGGGGGCAAUAGCGCCCCACAAUCCGACCCUCACACACUGCCCUGACCCGGCCUUGCACAUGUGUGCCUCUUGAAUUGGAACUUGCACACUCAGAUGUCUGGGAAUCCAUUGUGAAACACGCAUGUGUGCACAUGAGGACACACACACACACACACACACACACAGGGGACCAGGCCCUGGCUUCUCUCCACAGCAGGCACGGAUAUCCCUCUAGCCUCUGGAGAAGCCCGAUUCACAGGGAACCCAAGAACUCUUGGGGCCAGACAUUGGACCCUUGGCCCUGGGACAGUCUGAACUAGCCAGGAUCAGAGCUGACCUUCAUGGGCCAGGGCACCUCUGCCUUCCCAGGCCCUUCCUCCAUAAAUAUUAAAAAUCAUAUUUUAUGACUGCA